This 732-nucleotide ribosomal RNA is filed under the name uncultured Corynebacterium sp. Its description in RNAcentral is "bacterial SSU rRNA". It matches the Rfam family "Bacterial small subunit ribosomal RNA", at positions 28 to 776 of the family's 1533-position model. The record is from RNAcentral. Lineage: Bacteria; Bacillati; Actinomycetota; Actinomycetes; Mycobacteriales; Corynebacteriaceae.
GACGAACGCUGGCGGCGUGCUUAACACAUGCAAGUCGAACGGAAAGGCCUUUUCGGAGGUACUCGAGUGGCGAACGGGUGAGUAACACGUGGGUGAUCUGCCCUGCACUCUGGGAUAAGCCUGGGAAACUGGGUCUAAUACCGGAUAGGACUGCACUUUAGUGUGUGCGGUGGAAAGUUUUUUCGGUGUAGGAUGAGCCCGCGGCCUAUCAGCUUGUUGGUGGGGUAAUGGCCUACCAAGGCGGCGACGGGUAGCCGGACUGAGAGGUUGGUCGGCCACAUUGGGACUGAGAUACGGCCCAGACUCCUACGGGAGGCAGCAGUGGGGAAUAUUGCACAAUGGGCGCAAGCCUGAUGCAGCGACGCCGCGUGGGGGAUGACGGCCUUCGGGUUGUAAACUCCUUUCGCCAGGGACGAAGCGUUUUGUGACGGUACCUGGAGAAGAAGCACCGGCUAACUACGUGCCAGCAGCCGCGGUAAUACGUAGGGUGCAAGCGUUGUCCGGAAUUACUGGGCGUAAAGAGCUCGUAGGUGGUUUGUCACGUCGUCUGUGAAAUUCCACAGCUUAACUGUGGGCGUGCAGGCGAUACGGGCUGACUUGAGUACUGUAGGGGUAACUGGAAUUCCUGGUGUAGCGGUGAAAUGCGCAGAUAUCAGGAGGAACACCGAUGGCGAAGGCAGGUUACUGGGCAGUUACUGACGCUGAGGAGCGAAAGCAUGGGUAGCAAACAGG